This 3033-nucleotide ribosomal RNA is filed under the name uncultured Chloroflexota bacterium. RNAcentral's name for it is "bacterial LSU rRNA". It matches the Rfam family "Bacterial large subunit ribosomal RNA". The record is from RNAcentral. Lineage: Bacteria; Bacillati; Chloroflexota.
GAUUAAGCUACUAAGGGUACACGGGGGAUGCCUUGGCGUCAAGAGCCGAUGAAGGACGUGGCUGGCUGCGAUAAGCUUCGGCGAGCCGUCAGCAGGCGCUAUCAGCCGGAGAUCUCCGAAUGGGGAAACCCACCUGGGCUAAUCCCCAGGUAUCCCUUAGCUGAACCCAUAGGCUAAGGGAGGGGAACCGGGCGAACUGAAACAUCUUAGUAGCCCGAGGAAAAGAGAUUAUUCCGCUAGUAGUGGCGAGCGAACGCGGAACAGCCCAAACCGUCACGCAUUUUGUGUGGCGGGGUUGUAGGACCCGGCGUAGGAGUGAUAAAUCUGUCUGUUAGCAGAACUGUGCUGGAAAGGCAGACCAUAGAGGGUGACAGUCCCGUAUGCGAAAACGGACAGACUCUGGCCGGUGUUCCUGAGUACCACGGGGCACGCUAAUCCUGUGGGAAGCUGGGAGGCCCACCUCCCAAGGCUAAAUACUCUUGACGACCGAUAGUGGACAAGUACCGUGAGGGAAAGGUGAAAAGAACCGCGGUGAGCGGAGUGAAAUAGAACCUGAAACCGUGUACCUACAAUCAGUCGGAGCCCUAUGCCUGUUUACAGGAAGGGGUGACGGCGUGCCUUUUGGAGAAUGAGCCGGCGAGUUACUCUCUGUAGCGAGGUUAAGCCAGUCACAGGCGGAGCCGUAGCGAAAGCGAGUCUGAAUAGGGCGUUUAGUUGCAGGGAGUAGACACGAAACCGGGUGAGCUAACCAUGGCCAGGUUGAAGCGAGAGUAAUGUCUCGUGGAGGACCGAACGGGUGUACGUUGCAAAGUGCUCCGAUGAGCUGUGGUUAGGGGUGAAAUGCCAAACGAACCCGGAGAUAGCUUGUUCUCCCCGAAAUAGCUUUAGGGCUAGCCUCAUGCGUUUAGUAUCGGAGGUAGAGCACUGGAUUGGCUAGGGGGCCCAUCGCUUACCAAACCAAACCAAACUCCGAAUGCCGAUACUUGAGAGCAUGGGAGUCGGACAGCGAAUGAUGAGAUCCGUUGUCGAGAGGGAAACAGCCCAGAUCGUCAGCUAAGGUCCCUAAGUUAUGGCUAAGUGGGAAAGGAUGUGAGACUACUGAGACAUCCAGGAGGUUGGCUUAGAAGCAGCCAUCCUUUAAAGAGUGCGUAACAGCUCACUGGUCUAGUGGUCUUGCGCCGAAAAUGUAACGGGGCUUAAGCCAUACACCGAAGCUACGAGUUCAGGAGACAGCAGUCAAAAAACAAAACCCAGAUCGUCCGGUCGGCGAAGUUUCUUCGUUGACCUCAGAUCGGGUUUUGAAGACUGUUCACUCCUGAGCGGUAGGGGAGCGUUCUGCAGGAGAAACAAGGCUGACCGUGAGGACAGCUAGCGGCCUGCAGAAGUGAGAAUGCCGGCAUGAGUAGCGUAAACCAUGUGAGAAUCAUGGUCGCCGUAAGUCUAAGGUUUCCAACGGAAGGUUGAUCCGCGUUGGGUUAGUCGGGCCUAAGCCGAGGCCGAGAGGCGUAGGCGAUGGACAACAGGUUAAUAUUCCUGUACCACCAGAGUGGAGCGAUGGGGGGACGCAGAAGGGUAGGCCAGCCGGGUGGUGGAUGUCCCGGUGCUGAACUCGUAGGGCGUUGAUCCUCGUAGGAAAAUCCGCGAGGGGAGCCUGAGGGGUUGUAUGCGGAGCCCUAUGGGCCGGAAGUGGCUGAGCCCAUGCUGCCAAGAAAAGCCUCUAAGCGUUGAAACUCUGGUGCCCGUACCGCAAACCGACACCGGUAGACGGGUGGAGAACACCAAGGCGAUCGGGAGAACCCUCGUUAAGGAACUCGGCAAAAUGGAUCCGUAACUUCGGGAGAAGGAUCGCCCCUGCUGGUGAAGGACCCCGCGUCUGGAGCUGGCGGGGGCCGCAGAGAAAUGGCCCUGCCGACUGUUUACCAAAACCACAGGUCUCUGCUAAGUCGUAAGACGAUGUAUAGGGGCUGACGCCUGCCCAGUGCCGGAAGGUUAAGGGGAGGGGUGCAAGCUCCGAACUGAAGCCCCGGUGAACGGCGGCCGUAACUAUAACGGUCCUAAGGUAGCGAAAUUCCUUGUCGGGUAAGUUCCGACCCGCACGAAAGGCGUAACGAGUGGGGCACUGUCUCAACGAGGGACCCGGCGAAAUUGAACUACCUGUGAAGAUGCAGGUUACCCGCAGAAGGACAAAAAGACCCCGUGGAGCUUUACUGCAGCUUGAUAUUGAGUUAGGGCUUGACUUGUGUAGGAUAGCUGGGAGGCUGAGAAGCUGGGGCGCCAGCCUCGGUGGAGCCGCCGUUGAAAUACCAGCCUGGUCAAGUCUUGGCCCUAACGGCUGGCCGUGAUCCGGCAGCCGGACAGUGUCAGGUGGGCAGUUUGACUGGGGCGGUCGCCUCCCAAAAGGUAACGGAGGCGCCCAAAGGUUCCCUCAGGCUGAAUGGAAACCAGCCGUAGAGUGUAAAGGCAUAAGGGAGCUUGACUGCAAGACCGACAAGUCGAGCAGAGACGAAAGUCGGGCUUAGUGAUCCCACGGUACCGGGUGGAAGGGCCGUGGCUUACCGGAUAAAAGCUACCCCGGGGAUAACAGGCUAGUCUCGCCCAAGAGUUCACAUCGACGGCGAGGCUCGGCACCUCGAUGUCGGCUCGUCGCAUCCUGGGGCUGGAGUAGGUCCCAAGGGUUGGGCUGUUCGCCCAUUAAAGCGGUACGCGAGCUGGGUUCAGACCGUCGUGAGACAGGUCGGUCUCUAUCCUCUGCGGGCGUAGGUGAUCUGAGAGGAGCUGCCCCUAGGACGAGAGGACCGGGGUGGACCGACCGCUGGUGUACCAGUUGUACCGCCAGGUGCAGUGCUGGGUAGCUACGUCGGGCAGAGAUAACCGCUGAAAGCAUCUAAGUGGGAAACUCGCCUCAAGAUGAGAUCACCGUCCGGUAACCAAUCCGGGAGAGGCCGCUGGGAGACUACCAGCUAUAUAGGCGGCAUGUGUAAGGGCAGCAAUGUCCUCAGCUAAGCCGUCCUAAUGGCCGAAGGCUUAAUCCCU